UCUAAAAAGAUUAGUGUUAUCCAGACAAAAAAAAUCAGAAAUAAUGUCCUAAGAAAAAAAAGAACUGACAGAUUCUGAGAGAUCUAUCCAAAGCGGUGAAUCUGGAAAACUUAGACAAAUCAUCUUUUUUUUUCCAUUCGGAGAAAGAAAGACAAGAUUGAAUAAACCAGAAGGUGAAAUAGAACAAAAGUACAUCAAAAAGAAUCACAUGUAGUCAUAAAAAAUCCAAAGUAUCCCAUACUCGUUGAAGCAAGGUACAGAGUUUGCGAAAGUGCGCCAAAUCUUGGAGAAAAUAUAUAAGGAAAUUGAACCACUUGUGAGCCAAAAACACCACUCUGAUGUGAGUUAGUGAUAUCCUUCAGUACCCAGCCGAAUAUAGAUUUCAAAGGUAUAAACUGAUUGUUUGGUGGCAGUGUCUAAAAUAUUGAGUUAGGAGACAUAUCAUUAUCGUGUGUGUGAGGUAUCUUCCUAAGCUGGGUAAUUGAACAUGACUUAGUUUGCUUAAACGUCGUCUCACUGGUGUGAUUUUCUCUGAAAUUUUAGAGAGAAACGACAGAUGAGAAUGGAUAUAUUAAAAACAUAUACAAACAAAUAGAUUUUCGAUAUGAUUUAAAAAAACACAUGAAACUCUACCUUCAGAACCUUAUGUAUAAUUGGUUCCCGUUUGAAAAUGUGGAAUAUCAGUAAGGCCUGAACUAUUUGUUUGUGUUGUAGUCUGAUAUGCUAUUAUGAAUCUAUUCCACCUUGAAUACUGCUGAUUGUACUGUUGCUUUCCCUCUGCCGUAUUCUAUAAGAAACAGAUUGAGAAAUGUAUUGAAAUAUGUGUGUUGCUCUGAGGUCAAAAUGCUGUAUAUAUAAGAAAAGAAUAGUUUGAUGGUUUAGGGCAUUCAAAUUGUAUAUAUUUUCUUAAAAUUAGCCGUCUGUUUAGUGAAUCAUAUAUCUUGGGGAUCAAGUUUAUUCAAUUUAUGGUGAAUUAUAUUUUCAUGUUUGAAUUAUAUAGAUUUAAGUUAUUAAAUGCUGCUGUUUUUAUUUUAUGAUUGGUUGUUAAUGAUAUUUUGAAUAUAUAUGAGGAUACUUAGAUUGCUCAGUUAUUUACGAUCUACUAUAUUCGGUUUCCUUAAUUUAACAACUUACCUAGAUUUUAGUUUAUUUGAGUAGAGUUAUGGUUUUUUUUAUUUAAGUAUUUAGUUGUAUAUGGUUAUUGAUUCGAAAACGAUUUGGUAUUUAUGUUUUAGAAUAUUCGAUAUUGGUAUGCAUGGAAAUUCCGGAAAUUUAGUUGAUUAUAAUUUUUUUGUUUGCUUUUAGUUUAGUGGUUUAUAAAAAUCAAAAACUUUCACCGCCUUGCAUAUCGUAACCUGUAAAAUAUUGUAACUUGUAUAUUGGGUUUGAUAUGCAAUUGUUUGUAAAAUAAUAAAAAAAUGAUUGGAACUGAUGAAUGGUAAUGGAAACAAUUAUAGCACAUCAAUAUGUUGUUUUGAAGUGAAAGUUUGCAGAUUCUAAUGGACGAUGAAGCAGUGGUGUUCAUGGAAGAUUAUUAAGAGUACAUGAGAAUUUGUUUUUGAUACGUAUACUACAAAAAUGAAAAAUGAAAUAUAUUUGUAAAAUAAUUAUCUAUACUAUUAAAGUACAAGCACAUUUGGAUUUUUACUCUGUUCACCCCUAUUAAAGAGACUUUCUUUUGUAUUCAUUAAUGACAUUUUGGACAUUUUG
Raphanus sativus (radish) is the source of this 1710-nucleotide long non-coding RNA. RefSeq lists it as uncharacterized. The transcript has 3 exons. The record is from RefSeq and is a predicted model, not a curated record. NCBI's taxonomy places the organism in Eukaryota, Viridiplantae, Streptophyta, Magnoliopsida, Brassicales, Brassicaceae.